AACGAACGCUGGCGGCAGGCUUAACACAUGCAAGUCGAGCGCAUCCUUCGGGGUGAGCGGCGGACGGGUGAGUAACGCGUGGGAACGUGCCCUCUUCUACGGAAUAGCCUCGGGAAACUGAGAGUAAUGCCGUAUACGCCCGCAAGGGGAAAGAUUUAUCGGAGGAGGAUCGGCCCGCGUUGGAUUAGGUAGUUGGUGGGGUAACGGCCUACCAAGCCGACGAUCCAUAGCUGGUUUGAGAGGAUGAUCAGCCACACUGGGACUGAGACACGGCCCAGACUCCUACGGGAGGCAGCAGUGGGGAAUCUUGGUCAAUGGGGGCAACCCUGAUCCAGCCAUGCCGCGUGAUCGAUGAAGGCCUUAGGGUUGUAAAGAUCUUUCAGCUGGGAAGAUAAUGACGGUACCAGCAGAAGAAGCCCCGGCUAACUCCGUG
This 433-nucleotide ribosomal RNA is filed under the name uncultured bacterium. Its description in RNAcentral is "partial 16S ribosomal RNA". It matches the Rfam family "Bacterial small subunit ribosomal RNA", at positions 29 to 507 of the family's 1533-position model. The record is from RNAcentral.